ACGGCUCAGUAACACGUGGACAACCUACCCAAAGGUCUGGGAUAACUCCGGGAAACUGGGGAUAAUACCGGAUAGGUCAAGAGUACUGGAAGGGUUUUUUGAUUGAAAGCUCUGGCGCCUUUGGAUGGGUCUGCGGCUGAUUAGGUUGACGCCGGUGUAAAGUACCGGCGUGCCGAUUAUCAGUACGGGUUGUGGGAGCAAGAGCCCGGAGAUGGAUUCUGAGACACGAAUCCAGGCCCUACGGGGCGCAGCAGGCGCGAAAACUCUACAAUGCAGGCAACUGCGAUAGGGGAACAUCGAGUGGCAUCUACAUUAGGUGUCUGUCCAGCUGUCUAAAAAACGGCUGUUAGCAAGGGCCGGGCAAGACCGGUGCCAGCCGCCGCGGUAAUACCGGCGGCUCGAGUGGUGGCCGAUAUUAUUGAGUCUAAAGGGUCCGUAGCCGGCUUUGCAAGUCUUGUGGGAAAUCCAGCGGCUUAACCGUUGGGCGUCUGCGGGAUACUACAUUGCUUGGGACUGGGAGAGGUAGGAGGUACUCAGGGGGUAGGAGUGAAAUCCUGUAAUCCUCUGGGGACCACCGGUGGCGAAGGCGUCCUACCAGAACAGGUCCGACGGUGAGGGACGAAAGCUAGGGGCACGAACCGGAUUAGAUACCCGGGUAGUCCUAGCCGUAAACGAUGCCCGCUAGGUGUCACGGCAGUCGUGAACUGCCGUGGUGCCGUAGGGAAGCCGUGAAGCGGGCCACUUGGGAAGUACGACCGCAAGGUUGAAACUUAAAGGAAUUGGCGGGGGAGCAC
Molecule: ribosomal RNA, 794 nt
Filed under: uncultured archaeon
Lineage: Archaea
Also listed under: 1 other name
Description: bacterial SSU rRNA
Rfam family: Archaeal small subunit ribosomal RNA
Source: RNAcentral